Molecule: ribosomal RNA, 450 nt
Filed under: Ralstonia pickettii
Lineage: Bacteria; Pseudomonadati; Pseudomonadota; Betaproteobacteria; Burkholderiales; Burkholderiaceae
Description: bacterial SSU rRNA
Rfam family: Bacterial small subunit ribosomal RNA
Source: RNAcentral
UGCCUUACACAUGCAAGUCGAACGGCAGCAUGAUCUAGCUUGCUAGAUUGAUGGCGAGUGGCGAACGGGUGAGUAAUACAUCGGAACGUGCCCUGUAGUGGGGGAUAACUAGUCGAAAGAUUAGCUAAUACCGCAUACGACCUGAGGGUGAAAGUGGGGGACCGCAAGGCCUCAUGCUAUAGGAGCGGCCGAUGUCUGAUUAGCUAGUUGGUGAGGUAAAGGCUCACCAAGGCGACGAUCAGUAGCUGGUCUGAGAGGACGAUCAGCCACACUGGGACUGAGACACGGCCCAGACUCCUACGGGAGGCAGCAGUGGGGAAUUUUGGACAAUGGGCGAAAGCCUGAUCCAGCAAUGCCGCGUGUGUGAAGAAGGCCUUCGGGUUGUAAAGCACUUUUGUCCGGAAAGAAAUGGCUCUGGUAACACCUGGGGUCGAUGACGGUACCCGGAAG